GACAGGAAGCAGGGAGAGAAAGAGGAAGCAACUAGGGACCAAGGAUCCCCUUCGAAAGCAUGUCCCCAGUGACUCGCUUUCUCCAGAGAGACCACAUCUCCUAAAGUACUCAUAUCUCCCAAGGGCUGAGAGAAGAGGUGGAGUUUUUUGCUAAGCCCUGGCUGGCCUGGAACUCAUUGUGUAGAACAUACCGACCCCAAGCUAACAGAGAUCUGCUGGCCUCUGAAUGCUGGGAUUCAAGGCACUGUGGGAGCCUCGAAGCUACCGUGCAGACAUGACCAAAUCCAAGAAUCACACCACACACAACCAGUCCCGCAAAUGGCACAGAAAUUAAGCAAUCCCAGUCACAAAGACAUGAAUCUCUUAAGGGAGUUGACCCCAAGUUCCUGAGGAACAUGCGCUUUGCCAAGAAGCACAACGAGAAAGGUCUGAAGAAGAUGCAAACCAACAAUGCAAAGGCAGUGGAUGGAUGCAGUAGGUGCAGAGGCCAUCAAGGCCCUUGUGAAGCCUCAGGCUGCCAAGCCCAAGAUGCCAAAGGGCCCCAGCCGCAAACUCAGCCUUCUGGCUUUCAUUGCUCACCCCAGAUUUGACCUUGCAUGGCCAAGGGUUGUAGGCUCUGCCAGCCAAAGCCCAAGAUCCCAACCGAGGCAGAGGCCGCAGCUCAUGCUAAGGCCCAAGCUUCAGUUCCAGCUUGGGCUUCCAAAGGUGCCCAGGUCCCUUUGAAGGCCCCAUUUUUAUAAUAGUUUCUGUCAAUGUGAAGAUAGAUGGACUGCUGUGGCACACUAUUUGCAGAUGGCCACUCUCCUAUGCUGUUUUAACAAAUAAAUUUGAGGCAAGACAUGUUAAAAAAAGAAAACAAAAUAAAUCCUACCUAAUAAUGAAAAAGCUUUUAGGUCAUAUAUGGAGGUGAACAAUGAGAGGUUAUUAAAGAGACUAAAGACAG
This is a long non-coding RNA of Mastomys coucha (southern multimammate mouse), 943 nucleotides long. RefSeq lists it as uncharacterized. Lineage: Eukaryota; Metazoa; Chordata; Mammalia; Rodentia; Muridae. The record is from RefSeq and is a predicted model, not a curated record. The transcript has 4 exons.